RNAcentral lists this ribosomal RNA (253 nucleotides) under uncultured bacterium. RNAcentral's name for it is "partial 16S ribosomal RNA". It matches the Rfam family "Bacterial small subunit ribosomal RNA", at positions 524 to 776 of the family's 1533-position model. The record is from RNAcentral.
UACGGAGGGUGCGAGCGUUGUCCGGAAUCAUUGGGCAUAAAGAGCGUGUAGGCGGUCCGGUAAGUCCGCUGUGAAAGUCGGGGGCUCAACCCUCGAAUGCCGGUGGAUACUGUCGGGCUAGAGUGCGGAAGAGGCGAGUGGAAUUCCUGGUGUAGCGGUGAAAUGCGCAGAUAUCAGGAGGAACACCUAUUGCGAAGGCAGCUCGCUGGGACGUAACUGACGCUGAGACGCGAAAGCGUGGGGAGCAAACAGG